GGUAUUUUGACCGUGCAAAGGUAGCAUAAUCAUUAGUUUUUUAAUUGAAAGCUGGAAUGAAAGGUUGGAUGAGAAAGAAGCUGUCUCUAUUUAAUUUAUUUAGAAUUUUAUUUUUAAGUUAAAAAGCUUAAAUUUUAAUAGAAGACGAGAAGACCCUAUAGAGUUUGAUUAAUUUUUUUAAUAAGAUUAAUAGGAUUUUUUAUUUUUAUGAAAAAAAUUAAUUUAGUUGGGGUGAUUGAAAAAUUAAUUAAACUUUUUUUUUAUUAAUACAUUAAUUUAUGAAUAGUUGAUCCUUAAUUAGAGAUUAAAAGAUAAAAUUACCUUAGGGAUAACAGCGUAAUUUUUUUUGAGAGUUCAAAUCGAAAGAAAAGAUUGCGACCUCGAUGUUGGAUUAAAAUAAAAUUUUGGUGUAGAAGCUAAAG
This 422-nucleotide ribosomal RNA is filed under the name Laparocerus cryptus. RNAcentral describes it as "partial 16S ribosomal RNA". The record is from RNAcentral. Lineage: Eukaryota; Metazoa; Arthropoda; Insecta; Coleoptera; Curculionidae.